GACGAACGCUGGCGGCGUGCUUAACACAUGCAAGUCGAACGGAAAGGCCCUGCUUUUGUGGGGUGCUCGAGUGGCGAACGGGUGAGUAACACGUGAGUAACCUGCCCUUGACUUUGGGAUAACUUCAGGAAACUGGGGCUAAUACCGGAUAGGAGCUCCUGCUGCAUGGUGGGGGUUGGAAAGUUUCGGCGGUUGGGGAUGGACUCGCGGCUUAUCAGCUUGUUGGUGGGGUAGUGGCUUACCAAGGCUUUGACGGGUAGCCGGCCUGAGAGGGUGACCGGCCACAUUGGGACUGAGAUACGGCCCAGACUCCUCCGGGAGGCAGCAGUGGGGCAUAUUGCACAAUGGGCGGAAGCCUGAUGCAGCAACGCCGCGUGCGGGAUGACGGUCUUCGGGUUGUAACCCGCUUUCGCCUGUGACGAAGCGUGCGUGACGGUAAUGGGUAACGCAGCACCGGAUAACUACGU
RNAcentral lists this ribosomal RNA (467 nucleotides) under uncultured bacterium. RNAcentral's name for it is "partial 16S ribosomal RNA". It matches the Rfam family "Bacterial small subunit ribosomal RNA", at positions 28 to 506 of the family's 1533-position model. The record is from RNAcentral.